This 253-nucleotide ribosomal RNA is filed under the name uncultured bacterium. RNAcentral's name for it is "partial 16S ribosomal RNA". It matches the Rfam family "Bacterial small subunit ribosomal RNA", at positions 524 to 776 of the family's 1533-position model. The record is from RNAcentral.
GACAGAGGUGCCAAGCGUUAGGCGGAAUCACUGGGCUUAAAGCGUGUGUAGGCGGAUCGUUAAGUACCUUGUGAAAUCCCACGGCUCAACCGUGGAACUGCUGGGUAUACUGGCGAUCUUGAGCCACCUAGGGGCGAGCGGAACUUCCGGUGGAGCGGUGAAAUGCGUUGAGAUCGGAAGGAACGCCCGUGGCGAAAGCGAGGUCCUGGACGCCUACUGACGCUGAGACGCGAAAGCCAGGGGAGCGAACGGG